UGGGGCAAUGAGUCACCACCAGCCUUC
Molecule: non-coding RNA, 27 nt
Filed under: Mus musculus (house mouse)
Lineage: Eukaryota; Metazoa; Chordata; Mammalia; Rodentia; Muridae
Source: RNAcentral